CCAGACUCCUACGGGAGGCAGCAGUGGGGAAUAUUGGGCAAUGGGCGCAAGCCUGACCCAGCAACGCCGCGUGAAGGAAGAAGGCUUUCGGGUUGUAAACUUCUUUUCUCAGGGACGAAGCAAGUGACGGUACCUGAGGAAUAAGCCACGACUAACUACGUGCCAGCAGCCGCGGUAAUACGUAGGUGGCAAGCGUUGUCCGGAUUUACUGGGUGUAAAGGGCGUGCAGCCGGGAAGACAAGUCAGAUGUGAAAUCCCGCGGCUCAACCGCGGAACUGCAUUUGAAACCGUUUUUCUUGAGUACCGGAGAGGUCAUCGGAAUUCCUUGUGUAGCGGUGAAAUGCGUAGAUAUACGGAGGAACACCAGUGGCGAAGGCGGAUUGCUGGACAGUAGCUGACGCUGAGGCGCGAAAGCGUGGGGAGCAAACAGGAUUAGAUACCCGUGUACA
RNAcentral lists this ribosomal RNA (449 nucleotides) under uncultured bacterium. RNAcentral's name for it is "bacterial SSU rRNA". It matches the Rfam family "Bacterial small subunit ribosomal RNA", at positions 331 to 794 of the family's 1533-position model. The record is from RNAcentral.